Molecule: unclassified non-coding RNA, 328 nt
Filed under: soil metagenome
Description: partial contains 5.8S ribosomal RNA, internal transcribed spacer 2, and large subunit ribosomal RNA
Rfam family: 5.8S ribosomal RNA (bases 1-120)
Source: RNAcentral
GAUGAAGAACGCAGCGAAUUGCGAUAAGUAAUGUGAAUUGCAGAAUUCAGUGAAUCAUCGAAUCUUUGAACGCACAUUGCGCCCCUUGGUAUUCCGAGGGGCAUGCCUGUUCGAGCGUCAUUAUAACCCCUCAAGCUCAGCUUGGUAUUGGGGCCUGCCAUCCUGGCAGCCCUUAAAAUCAGUGGCGGUGCCAUCCGGCUCUAAGCGUAGUAACUCCUCUCGCUAUGGAGUCCUGGUGGAUGCUUGCCAUUAAUCUUUUAACUUCUAUGGUUGACCUCGGAUCAGGUAGGGAUACCCGCUGAACUUAAGCAUAUCAAUAAGCGGAGGA